UUAUCUCUUUUUAUAGAGAACCUGCUUGAACAAGAUGAAAUAUACUGUGCACAAAGAGGAAAAGUAAAUUGGCUACACCGGGUCGACCAGAAUACAGUCUACUUUCAUCAGUUUGCUUCGGCACGUCGGCGCAGGAAUUUAAUCAAGCAGCUUAAAAAUAGUAAUGAUUGUUGGGUAGAACGUAAGGAUAAUCUUAAGCCUCUGAUUAGGGACUACUUUCAAGGUCUCACAUCUACUUCGGUUGUGGCGGAUCAGGACAUGUUAAAUUCUAUAAGACCUUUGGUGUCUAGUGAAAUGAAUAAUAUGCUUUUGGCUGAGUAUGCCAGAGAAGAUGUUCGCAAAGCUUUGUUCCAGAUAGGUGAUAUGAAGGCUCCUGGCUCCUGACGGAUGAGGUGCUCGAUGCUAUAAACAAAAAGAAGAUCCCUUCAGGAUGGAAUUUUAGAAAUGUUGUGCUAAUUCCAAAGGUUGACAACCCAGAGUUAAUUACACAAUACAAGCAUGUCAGUCUAUGCAAUGUGGUAUAUAAAAUAAUCUAAACAAUGCUUGCAAAUAGGUUGAAGCUAAUACUUCCCGAUAUCAUCUCUCCAACACAAAGUGCUUUUGUCCCAGGUAGACUCAUUGCCGAUAAUGUGUUGGUAGCCUAUGAGAGUUUUCAUGCAAUUAAGAAGAAAACUCAUGGGUCUAAUGGUUAUUGUGCUGUCAAACUGGAUAUGAAUAAAGCCUAUGACCGAGUGGAAUGUGGUUUCCCGGAGAAAAUAAUGUUGCGGAUGGGAUUUCAUGCAUAUUGGGUGGAGCUUAUUAUGGAGUGUGUAUCUUCAGUAAGUUACAGAGUCCGCUUUAAUAAUACUAAAACUGAAGAGAGGUCUAAGACAGGGAGAUCCAUUGUCUCCCUAUUUAUUCCUAUUAUGUUCUGAAGGACUAACAAGUUUAUUAGCACGUGAACAAGAGAUUGGAGGACUAGAGGGGGUUCGUGUUUGCAGAAAUGCACCCCCUAUUUCGCACUUGUUAUUUGCGGAUGAUUCUUUAAUCCUGAUGAAGGCUGACUCACAUAAUGCAAGUACUCUUCAAAGGGUUCUUGAUACAUACUGUAGUAGCUCGGGACAACUUGUGAGUAAUGCAAAAUCAAGUACUUUUUUCAGCCCUAAUACAAGUGUCCAUACUAGAGAGAAUGUUUGCAGAGAAUUAAACAUUGUGACAGAAGCUCUGUCUGACACAUAUUUGGGUCUCCCUACUAUGGUUGGUGUGGAUAGAAGUGACUGUUUUCAUCACUUGGUUGAUAAAGUGUGUCAGAGGCUGAAGGGUUGGAAAGAGAAAACACUCUCGAUGCAAGGUAAAGAGAUUUUGGUCAAAUCUAUAGCACAUGCAAUCCCAUCUUAUGCUAUGUCUGUUUUUAAGCUACCUAAAGGGAUUUGCAAGGCUAUUACCGAUGAAAUUUCUGGUUUUUGGGUGGGAGAUAAUGAGGAGAAAAAUAAGAUGCAGACUUGGUUUUAGAGACCUGCACAGUUUUAAUCUUGCUAUAUUAGCAAAACAGUACUGGCGACUAAUCCAGAACCCAGACUCUUUGUGCACACAAGUGUUGAGGGCAAAAUACUACCCGGAUGGUGGCAUUUUGAGAGCAAGUCCACAGAAAGGAUCAUCUUACACAUGGCAAAGCAUUGUUGCAGGUAUCCAGACAUUCAAGAGGGGCUAUAUUUGGCGUGUGGGAACGGGAUUGAACAUUGAUAUAUGGCAGGACCCAUGGAUUCCAUUGAGUGUGUCAAGAAGAGUUGUCACUGAGAGGGGUGCUACAAUGCUCUCGAAAGUUGAAGAAUUAAUAAACCCACACACAGGACAAUGGGACGAGGGUCUUAUCCGAGAUGCCUUCUCACCUGUUGAUGCCUACAGGAUUUUACAAAUUCGUUUGAAUGCCAAUAUGACAGAGGACUUUGUAGCGUGAAACUAUACACGUUCAGGCACUUUUUCUAUGAGGUCUGCUUAUCAUAAGGAAUUUGAGCAUCAACAUGGAACACGUCUGAUGAGAGCUGAUGGUCAAGGGAGACAACAAAUUAAUCUUGUGUGGAAUGAUAUAUGGAGACUGAAAAUACAAGGAAAGAUCAAGCAUUUUGCAUGGAAAGUUCUACACGGUGCACUCCCAUGCUUGGGAGCAUUAGCAAAUCGCCACAUUCCAUGUUCACCUCAAUGCCCGGUAUGCUUGAUUGGCGAUGAAGAUAUACAACACUGUUUGUUCAAAUGCUGACGAGCGACCAAAGUUUGGGAACAGUUGGGCUUACUGCAAGAUAUUUGGAGGGCUGUUUUGGAAGAUAGAUCAGGGUCUAUUACCAUGGAAAUUAUCUCCAAACUAAAAGGCGCUGAUGGAGAGAUACCAAGGGCAGAACUCAUUAUCAUAGCGGCACGGUAUAUAUGGUGGCAACAACGACAAACAGUGAAGGGGACACAAGUUCAGACCCCCGAGAAAACUGCACUAUCUAUCAAAGUGUUAGCAACGAAUUACAUGAGAUCACUCACGCCUAAAGGUCCAGUACGAAAGAGUGAUCACAUGUGGAAAAAACCAGGAAGUGGGAUGGUGAAGAUAAAUGUUGACGCCUUCUUUUAGUAUGAAACAUUUUCGGGUGCUUGUGGUGCAGUGGCUCGUGAUGAACGGGGUGAUUUCAUAACUGCAGCUGGUUGGUUUCUGCCUAAUAUAUAUGAUGUGGAUUCAGCAUAGUGGAUCGCAAUAAGGAACGGAAUGUACUUGACGAGUCAGAUUGACCGUACUAGGGUGGAAAUUGAGUCAGACUGCUCCUUUACUGUGGACGCUAUUAACCAAAUAGAGGACUAUUUAGGACCUGAAGUCGCAACCAUCACGGGGUGCAAACAUCUGAUCUUGGACUAUGCAAAGAUAUCCUUCAAACAUUGUUUCAGGGAGGCCAACAAGGUAGCAGACGAAAUAGCAAAGUACUCCUUUAGUAAUAGAUCUUCAGUUUGCUGGGAGGAUGAAAUCCCUGAUUUUAUUUCUCAUUUGAUUGUAAAUGACAUGUCGAUUAUGUGAGGAAUAAAAUCUAUUUGCCGUCAAGAAAAAGAGUAGUACAAGCUACAAACAAAGCAGGGUACCAGUUACCUCGACGUCUUAGAAAAAAAGGGAUCGCGUCGACUCGGGUCGGGUGGCUCCGCCGCCGUCGCUCCAGGUCCACGCCACCCCUUUCUCCCCUCGCCGUCUUUGGCCGGUGGUUCGAGGCGGCGGGUUCUUGUGCGCGCCCUUCCUGCUCCCGCUCAGAUCUGCCCCUAUAUGGAUCUUACCUCGCCACGCCGGGUAUGCGCUGC
Molecule: long non-coding RNA, 3300 nt
Filed under: Triticum aestivum (bread wheat)
Lineage: Eukaryota; Viridiplantae; Streptophyta; Magnoliopsida; Poales; Poaceae
Description: long non-coding RNA (TAES_LNC023792)
Source: RNAcentral